GAUGAACGCUGGCGGCGUGCCUAAUACAUGCAAGUCGAGCGAACGGACGAGAAGCUUGCUUCUCUGAUGUUAGCGGCGGACGGGUGAGUAACACGUGGAUAACCUACCUAUAAGACUGGGAUAACUUCGGGAGACCGGAGCUAAUACCGGAUGAUAUUUUGAACCGCAUGGUUCAAAAGUGAAAGACGGUCUUGCUGUCACUUAUAGAUGGAUCCGCGCUGCAUUAGCUAGUUGGUAAGGUAACGGCUUACCAAGGCAACGAUGCAUAGCCGACCUGAGAGGGUGAUCGGCCACACUGGAACUGAGACACGGUCCAGACUCCUACGGGAGGCAGGAGUAGGGAAUCUUCCGCAAUGGGCGAAAGCCUGACGGAGCAACGCCGCGUGAGUGAUGAAGGUCUUCGGAUCGUAAAACUCUGUUAUUAGGGAAGAACAUAUGUGUAAGUAACUGUGCACAUCUUGACGGUACCUAAUCAGAAAGCCACGGCUAACUACGUG
Molecule: ribosomal RNA, 497 nt
Filed under: uncultured bacterium
Lineage: Bacteria
Description: partial 16S ribosomal RNA
Rfam family: Bacterial small subunit ribosomal RNA
Source: RNAcentral